AUUGGUCCUGUAGGUCAUACAAUUUGUACAACAAAGCACAGCUUGAUAUAGGACAAUUCAAUUUGAAAAAUUAUGUUAAGAAGGUAUACGACGAGAGAUGACAGUAGUGGGAAUGGUGUUUUCCUGCAGUGAGGUUUUAUGGCUGCAUGGCAGUUCUCUCACGGUUGCUGUCUACACUGCCAAACCCCAGCCAAAUGGUGCCGCUGGCCAGUGAACACACAUGAUCCACUGGGCUGGAAUCGCUGGCAGCCAGACCCCAGAGUUUCUGAAGUGGAAAUCCAAAGACGAGAAGACAGCAAGAAGUAGCUUUUUAUGUGUUUCAUGGUUUAUAGGCCUAAUGGGGAAACUCACCAUGUAAAAAAACGAGUAAUGCAUCAAGUUUGGUACCUCUAUGGUGAUGUGGAAA
Schistocerca piceifrons (Central American locust) is the source of this 406-nucleotide long non-coding RNA. RefSeq lists it as uncharacterized. The transcript has 3 exons. NCBI's taxonomy places the organism in Eukaryota, Metazoa, Arthropoda, Insecta, Orthoptera, Acrididae. The record is from RefSeq and is a predicted model, not a curated record.